This 329-nucleotide unclassified non-coding RNA is filed under the name soil metagenome. Its description in RNAcentral is "partial contains 5.8S ribosomal RNA, internal transcribed spacer 2, and large subunit ribosomal RNA". The stretch from base 1 to 120 matches the Rfam family "5.8S ribosomal RNA", at positions 35 to 154 of the family's 154-position model. The record is from RNAcentral.
GAUGAAGAACGCAGCGAAAUGCGAUAAGUAAUGUGAAUUGCAGAAUUCAGUGAAUCAUCGAAUCUUUGAACGCACAUUGCGCCCCCUGGUAUUCCGGGGGGCAUGCCUGUCCGAGCGUCAUUACAACCCUCAAGCUCAGCUUGGUGUUGGGCCCCGCCGCCCCGGCGGGCCCUAAAGUCAGUGGCGGUGCCGUCCGGCUCCGAGCGUAGUAAUUCUUCUCGCUCUGGAGGCCCGGUCGUGUGCUCGCCAGCAACCCCCAAUUUUUUUCAGGUUGACCUCGGAUCAGGUAGGGAUACCCGCUGAACUUAAGCAUAUCAAUAAGCGGAGGA